Molecule: ribosomal RNA, 395 nt
Filed under: uncultured bacterium
Lineage: Bacteria
Description: bacterial SSU rRNA
Rfam family: Bacterial small subunit ribosomal RNA
Source: RNAcentral
AGGCAAUAGAUACCCCGGUAGUCCACGCCGUAAACGAUGGGUACUAGGUGCCUGGGGGAGCGACCCCUUGGGUGCCGGCGCUAAACGCAGGAAAGUACCCCGCCUGGGGAGUACGACCGCAAGGUUGAAACUCAAAGGAAUUGACGGGGGUCCCGCACAAGCGGUGGAGCAUGUGGUUUAAUUCGACGCAAACGCGAAGAACCUUACCUAGGCUUGACAUGCAUGGGAAACCUCCUCAGAAACGAGGAGCCUCCUUCGGGAUCCAUGCACAGGUGCUGCAUGGCUGUCGUCAGCUCGUGUCGUGAGAUGUUGGGUUAAGUCCCGCAACGAGCGCAACCCCGUGUUCUUAGUUACCAGCGCGUAAUGGCGGGGACUCUAGGAAGACUGCCGGUGCC